RNAcentral lists this ribosomal RNA (465 nucleotides) under Vreelandella stevensii. Its description in RNAcentral is "partial 16S ribosomal RNA". It matches the Rfam family "Bacterial small subunit ribosomal RNA", at positions 338 to 795 of the family's 1533-position model. Lineage: Bacteria; Pseudomonadati; Pseudomonadota; Gammaproteobacteria; Oceanospirillales; Halomonadaceae. The record is from RNAcentral.
CCUACGGGUGGCUGCAGUGGGGAAUAUUGGACAAUGGGCGAAAGCCUGAUCCAGCCAUGCCGCGUGUGUGAAGAAGGCCUUCGGGUUGUAAAGCACUUUCAGUGGGGAAGAAAGCCUUGGGGCUAAUACCCUCGAGGAAGGACAUCACCCACAGAAGAAGCACCGGCUAACUCCGUGCCAGCAGCCGCGGUAAUACGGAGGGUGCGAGCGUUAAUCGGAAUUACUGGGCGUAAAGCGCGCGUAGGCGGUCUGAUAAGCCGGUUGUGAAAGCCCCGGGCUCAACCUGGGAACGGCAUCCGGAACUGUCAGGCUAGAGUGCAGGAGAGGAAGGUAGAAUUCCCGGUGUAGCGGUGAAAUGCGUAGAGAUCGGGAGGAAUACCAGUGGCGAAGGCGGCCUUCUGGACUGACACUGACGCUGAGGUGCGAAAGCGUGGGUAGCAAACAGGAUUAGAGACCCCGGUAGUC